Aptenodytes forsteri (emperor penguin) is the source of this 617-nucleotide long non-coding RNA. RefSeq lists it as uncharacterized. Lineage: Eukaryota; Metazoa; Chordata; Aves; Sphenisciformes; Spheniscidae. The transcript has 2 exons. The record is from RefSeq and is a predicted model, not a curated record.
CAUUGUAAACUGGGAUGGGAUGGUACGUAGAUCUCCAGCAGUAGUGAAACUGUUUGUGAAACCUUAAUACCCAUACCAGCUUUACAAAUAUGCAUUUCUGUUCAAGAAAGUCCUAGCAAAGAAAGAAAGAAGGUGAAGGACCAACAUGCAUCAGCAACAUGUCUCAAAGGCACAGAAAUAAAAUUUCAGGAAGUGUUUCAAGCCAGCAACAAUAUCCAGUGUUAGAAGAGGAGUUGGAUACAAUAAAAGCUAAGUUCUAGAGUUGCUGAUGUUGCUGUGAGGAACUGGAAGAAACUGCAAGAAGUGGGCAGUGGACACACUGAGCUACUCCUGGGUGGCCAGCUGAGCUCCUAUCUGUGAAUGAAGGAUGAGGUUUCUUGAUAAAAUAUAUGAUCUAGUAUUGUAGGAAGAGUAACCUCAAAAACACAUUUUCCUCCAAAUUUCUAACCUGUUGUCAUAAAUAUUUUAAUAUUAAAGCCAGAUGAUAUUAGGCCUCCUGAAACCAUUAAUUUUACUCUCCCACAAUUUUUUUUUCCAGUCAAGUAUAAUUAAUAGUUCUAAAGCAAAAUAGUGUUAAAAUCUUGACUAGUAUUAAGGCAUUAAAGGUAACAAUAAUU